AACUCAAUCGAUUAAUUGGACAUAAUCAUCACAAAUCGAACCUAUUUUCAGCAAUUAACAGCCCCAAAAUGGCAAUAAUCACUUACCCUAGAAUGUAAACAACACCCUCACAAGCUUAAUCUGCCAGAAAAUUAAUCCUUUAAUGACCUUCACCAAGAAAACCAAACCGAUUAACAACGGAAAACGCGGCAUCCAAACCCCACUUAACCAAGAAUGACAAAAGGAAACUUCAAUAAUAGAAGAAAUAAAAAAAUAAAAAAAUAAUAGAUGGUAUUUACGCAAGAAUCGAGUUUUAAACAAUUCAAUUAAACCCUCACCACCAAAUAUGAAACAUAUAGCAAGAG
RNAcentral lists this long non-coding RNA (344 nucleotides) under Gossypium raimondii (Peruvian cotton). RNAcentral describes it as "long non-coding RNA (GRAI_LNC004688)". Lineage: Eukaryota; Viridiplantae; Streptophyta; Magnoliopsida; Malvales; Malvaceae. The record is from RNAcentral.